RNAcentral lists this ribosomal RNA (477 nucleotides) under Triticum aestivum (bread wheat). RNAcentral describes it as "partial small subunit ribosomal RNA". Lineage: Eukaryota; Viridiplantae; Streptophyta; Magnoliopsida; Poales; Poaceae. The record is from RNAcentral.
AUGCUCCAUUUCAAGCCUACGGCUAUCACCAACACGUUUGUCAAUUACAUUCGUUAUAUUUUCUCUUCUCCUAAUCAUACUGCAGAUAGACCUUAUAUGUCCGCUCAAUGGCCAAAUGAUUCUUCAGAUCCAACCUAUUCUCUUCCUGACAAACAUGAGGUUUUGCAGAUUCUCAAGGACAUGAAGUUAAAUGCUUCUCCAGGGCCUGAUGGUUUUAAUGUUGAAUUUUAUUUGGCUGCUUGGGAUUGGAUAGGAGACGAGGUUACCCAACUUGUCAUCAAUUUUUAUCUCUCUGGUGUUUUGCCUCCUCACAUCAAUGAUACUAAUAUUGCUCUCAUUCCUAAGAAACUGGUUCCUCAAGUUCCUAUGGACUACUGCCCUAUUAGUCUUUGUAAUGUUGUUUAUAAGAUUAUUGCUAAAUCCCUUGCCAACAGGAUUAAACCUCACCUUCCUGAUUACAUAGAUCCUGCUCAGUAG